AAGCUAUUAAUUUCAA
This 16-nucleotide transfer RNA is filed under the name Meloidogyne incognita (southern root-knot nematode). RNAcentral's name for it is "partial tRNA-His". The record is from RNAcentral. Lineage: Eukaryota; Metazoa; Nematoda; Chromadorea; Rhabditida; Meloidogynidae.